Molecule: precursor RNA, 731 nt
Filed under: Oryza sativa Japonica Group (Japanese rice)
Lineage: Eukaryota; Viridiplantae; Streptophyta; Magnoliopsida; Poales; Poaceae
Description: precursor microRNA 172a
Rfam family: mir-172 microRNA precursor family (bases 433-541)
Source: RNAcentral
AUAAGUAGUACUCCCUCCGUUCCAAAAAAAAACCUAACUCUAGAUUUAAAUCUGGACAUAGUGUAUAUCCAAAUUCAAACUCAGAAUUUAAUUUCUUUUUUUGACGGAGGGUGUAUAUUACUAUAUAUUAUAUCACUUUCAUCUUCGUGCACUUGCUGGCGCUGCCAACUGUGCCACGUAGACUACCAUUAAGCUCCUUUAAUUAACUCGAUCUACUUCUGACAGAUGUACUCCUAUAUAGUAUGACAGUGCUCUCUCGUCUACCUGCAAUGCAAAUUGGAGUAAACCCCUAGCUAGAAGAGGCUAGAGAAGAGCAAAUCUCUCCCUUCUCCCUUGUGUCCAAUGCAUCUCUUGAAUUUACUGUACUCUGGAGUAGAAGAUACGAACAAUGCUCAGUAGUACAGUAAAUCCAUGGAUGGAACGGUAGAGUCGGUGUUUGCGGGCGUGGCAUCAUCAAGAUUCACAUCCAUGCAUAUAUCACAAGACGCACAUAUACAUCCGAUUUGGCUGAGAAUCUUGAUGAUGCUGCAUCCGCAGACAAGCGCCUUUUUUUCUUUUCAAAGGUAAGCUCCUCUGCUAUUCAAAGACCAUACAUUAGUUGUUCAUCAUCUUCAUCCUUGUCACUCCCUCCGUUUCACAAUGUAAGACAUUCUAGGAUUUUCCACAUUCAUAUUGAUACUAAUGAAUCUAGACAUCUUACAUUGUGAAACGGAGAGAGUAUUAUAUAUGGC